GCCCUGGUGGCACAAAGGUUAAGCAUUCAGCUGCUAACCGAAAAGCUGGUGGUUCAAACCCAGCCAGUGGCU
Non-coding RNA from Loxodonta africana (African savanna elephant), 72 nucleotides. The record is from Rfam. Lineage: Eukaryota; Metazoa; Chordata; Mammalia; Proboscidea; Elephantidae.